This is a non-coding RNA of Phrynosoma platyrhinos (Desert horned lizard), 72 nucleotides long. Lineage: Eukaryota; Metazoa; Chordata; Lepidosauria; Squamata; Phrynosomatidae. The record is from the annotation of a GenBank genome assembly.
GCCACUGUGACAUAGUGGUUUGAGUGUUGGACUAGGACUCUGGAGACCAGGGUUCGAAUCCCAGCUCAGCCA